AAAUAUUGAACAGUUAAGAGCUGUAUUGCCAGAGUUGGCUUCAUUAUUGGUCGUUGGAGAGGUUAUAGCAGUUCCUCCGCUACUUCAAGCAGCAUUGAGAUCGCAACUAACAAAUUCACAUACACCGAGUAGUGGGACUUUUGUGAAAGAAGGUAGUGGUGAUGUUUAUGCAUCUGCUGUCACCACAGCUAAUUCUGUUACACCUCGCCAUACCCCUGAUAGAGAAAAUGACACUCGAAGUCAACAGAGAAGACCAUCCACCUUAAAUAGAGAGCACCAUGAGUCGGAAACAGAUACAGAAGAAUUUGAGAAAAAGUAGGCUGCAGUGGAGGCAGUGAUGGAACUUUUUC
This is a long non-coding RNA of Macrobrachium nipponense, 350 nucleotides long. RefSeq lists it as uncharacterized. Lineage: Eukaryota; Metazoa; Arthropoda; Malacostraca; Decapoda; Palaemonidae. The record is from RefSeq and is a predicted model, not a curated record. The transcript is spliced from 3 exons.